Molecule: long non-coding RNA, 930 nt
Organism: Eriocheir sinensis (Chinese mitten crab)
Lineage: Eukaryota; Metazoa; Arthropoda; Malacostraca; Decapoda; Varunidae
Exons: 3
Source: RefSeq, a predicted model, not a curated record
UACAAUUGUUAGAAGGCCUUUUAGUGUAGCCAAAUGUAAUUGUCAGAAGGCCUUUUAGUGUAGCCAAAUAUAAGUGUUAGAAGGCCUUUUAGUGUAGCCAAAUAUAAGUGUUAGAAGGCCUUUUAGUGUAGCCAAGUAAAAGUGUUAGAAGGCCUUUUAGUGUAGCCAAGUAAAAGUGUUAGAAGGCCUUUUAGUGUAGCCAAAUAUAAGUGUUAGAAGGCCUUUUAGUGUAGCCAAGUAAAAGUGUUAGAAGGCCUUUUAGUAUAGCCAGAUAUAAGUGUUAGAAGGCCUUUUAGUGUAGCCAAAUAUAAGUGUCAGAAGGCCUUUUAGUGUAGCCAAAUAUAAGUGUUAGAAGGCCUUUUAAUGUAGCCGAAUAUGUGUUAGAAGGCCUUUUAGUGUAGCCAAAUAUAAGUGUUUGAAGGCCUUUUAGUGUAGCCAAAUAUAAGUGUUAGAAGGCCUUUUAGUGUAGCCAAAUAUAAGUGUCAGAAGGCCUUUUAGUGUAGCCAAAUAUAAGUGUCAGAAGGCCUUUUAGUGUAGCCAAAUAUAAGUGUUAGAAGGCCUUUUAGUGUAGCCAAAUAUAAGUGUUAGAAGGCCUUUUAGUGUAGCCAAGUAUAAGUGUUAGAAGGCCUUUUAGUGUAGCCAAAUAUAAGUGUUAGAAGGCCUUUUAGUGUAGCCAAAUAUAAGUGUUAGAAGGCCUUUUAGUGUAGCCAAAUAUAAGUGUCAGAAGGCCUUUUAGUGUAGCCAAAUAUAAGUGUUAGAAGGCCUUUUAGUGUAGCCAAAUAUAAGUGUUAGAAGGCCUUUUAGUGUAGCCAAAUAUAAGUGAUAGAAGGCCUUUUAGUGUAGCCAAAUAUAAGUGUUAGAAGGCCUUUUAGUGUAACCAAAUAUAAUUGUUAGAAGGCCUUUUAGUGUAACCAAAUAUAAUUGUUAGAA